This 558-nucleotide ribosomal RNA is filed under the name Liquorilactobacillus nagelii. Its description in RNAcentral is "bacterial SSU rRNA". It matches the Rfam family "Bacterial small subunit ribosomal RNA", at positions 83 to 627 of the family's 1533-position model. Lineage: Bacteria; Bacillati; Bacillota; Bacilli; Lactobacillales; Lactobacillaceae. The record is from RNAcentral.
UUAAACAACUGAGUGGCGAACGGGUGAGUAACACGUGGGUAACCUGCCCCAAAGCGGGGGAUAACAUUUGGAAACAGAUGCUAAUACCGCAUAACCACAGAAACCACAUGGUUUCUGUGUCAAAGAUGGUUUCGGCUAUCACUUUGGGAUGGACCCGCGGCGUAUUAGCUAGUUGGUAAGGUAAUGGCUUACCAAGGCAAUGAUACGUAGCCGAACUGAGAGGUUGAUCGGCCACAUUGGGACUGAGACACGGCCCAAACUCCUACGGGAGGCAGCAGUAGGGAAUCUUCCACAAUGGACGAAAGUCUGAUGGAGCAACGCCGCGUGAGUGAAGAAGGUUUUCGGAUCGUAAAACUCUGUUGUCAGAGAAGAACGUGUGCGAGAGUAACUGUUCGUGCAGUGACGGUAUCUGGCCAGAAAGCCACGGCUAACUACGUGCCAGCAGCCGCGGUAAUACGUAGGUGGCAAGCGUUGUCCGGAUUUAUUGGGCGUAAAGGGAACGCAGGCGGUCUUUUAAGUCUGAUGUGAAAGCCUUCGGCUUAACCGAAGUCGUGCAUU